Non-coding RNA from Anas platyrhynchos (mallard), 732 nucleotides. The record is from RefSeq and is a predicted model, not a curated record. NCBI's taxonomy places the organism in Eukaryota, Metazoa, Chordata, Aves, Anseriformes, Anatidae.
UUAUAAAAAGAAGAUGGGGUUCUGGCUAAUUUAAAAGACGGAAAGAGAAUUUAGCUUGGAUACACUAAAAUAAAUUAAUUUUUCUGUAGGACCUUGGAGAAGAUUCCGAUUCAAUGGGCAAUCAGCUGAAUUUACACUAUAGCAGCAUGUAAACUGAGUAACCAGAUGUGUACUUGAAUUUCCUGAAUUUUAUGUAUCAUCUGGAUGAAGCAUCUGGAUCCACCUCAUUGUGUAGCCUUUACUGACACAAAAUAUUUUGGACUGGCAGGUAAAGGAAACCAGAAUCAGCUGGUAGUGUUCAGCUUGCUCCAAAGCCUGUUGGAUUGCCCUUAAUGACUACAUUAAGCUGAUCGGAAGCAGAGGGAAGCUGGUAGCUAUGCAAGAUACUGGACUUGCUUUCUGAUUCCAGCUCAGUCAGAGUGCUAUUUUCCUAUAUCUCUGUGAGCCGUGAAUUCUCACUUGGACUCAUCCAGGAGACAGAAAUGUUUCUGUGUAUGGAACUGGAAACAUGGUCACUAGUCAGCUAAAUGCAUCUGCCACUGGUGGAACCUGGAAGAACAACAAACUCACAUUUCUAUGGACUCCUAGCAAAACAUAACCUGUUUUUUUUUCCCCUGAAGAUAAAGAUAAAUUUUCACAGACACAACGCAGCCACACUGUAUUUAUAGCUGCAGAUGGCUGCUCUUUCCCCUUAGCCUCACAAGUAUGUAUAUUAAACAAUAGGAAACUCUG